RNAcentral lists this ribosomal RNA (503 nucleotides) under uncultured bacterium. RNAcentral describes it as "partial 16S ribosomal RNA". It matches the Rfam family "Bacterial small subunit ribosomal RNA", at positions 30 to 523 of the family's 1533-position model. The record is from RNAcentral.
AUUGAACGCUGGCGGCAGGCUUAACACAUGCAAGUCGAGCGGGGUGAUGGUGCUUGCACUAUCACUUAGCGGCGGACGGGUGAGUAAUGCUUAGGAAUCUGUCUAUUAGUGGGGGACAACAUCUCGAAAGGGAUGCUAAUACCGCAUACGUUCUACGGGAGAAAGCAGGGGAUCACUUGUGACCUUGCGUUAAUAGAUCAGCAUAAGUCGGAGUAGCUAGUUGGUGGGGUAAAGGGCUACCAAGGCGACGGUCUGUAGCGGGUCUGAGAGGAUGAGCCGCCACACUGGGACUGAGACACGGCCCAGACUCCUACGGGAGGCAGCAGUGGGGAAUAUUGGACAAUGGGGGGAACCCUGAUCCAGCCAUGCCGCGUGUGUGAAGAAGGCCUUAUGGUUGUAAAGCACUUUAAGCGAGGAGGAGGCUCUUUUGGUUAAUACCCAAGAUGAGUGGACGUUACUCGCAGAAUAAGCACCGGCUAACUCUGUGCCAGCAGCCGCAGUAA